RNAcentral lists this long non-coding RNA (547 nucleotides) under Brassica napus (rape). RNAcentral describes it as "long non-coding RNA (BNAP_LNC006282)". Lineage: Eukaryota; Viridiplantae; Streptophyta; Magnoliopsida; Brassicales; Brassicaceae. The record is from RNAcentral.
AUUUCUCUAUUGAUCCUUCCAGUAAGAGAGUGAUGAAAUUUUAAUUUCUAAACAUACAGAUCGAUGGCUUUUGAUGAUACUCUUUAAGAGAAUUUUUUCAAGGAUUAAGAAAAACACAUUUUUAUUGUGAAGCUAGUGAAAGGUUGAGGAAGAUUAAAGUCCAGGUUAGUGAGAUUAAACAUUUCCAAACUCUUCAAUCAUAAUUUUCAUCAUGUUGAUUUUUUAUGAAUCUUUAUCUCCUCUAAUGUACUUAUAAUAAUUAAUCAUUUUAACAUUAUACAUUUGAUCAAUAUCAUUUUAAAGUAGACUAAAUUAAUUAUCGAUUUGCUAGGAAAUGUUUAUUGACAGAAUUUGAGAAUAUUUACUGACUUUAAAUUUUAAUUAUAUAUUAUUGAAAUUUGGUCUUAUUUGUAAAAAAAAUUAUCCAUGCGUAGCAUUGGAUCCAUACUAGUAUAUUAUAGAUUAGAAGCUUACAUUUGUUCGGGUCAGAAAGAAGCUUAAUAUUUAAGAAAACAGUUACAGCCAUAAAAAAAUAAUUAAGAGAAUA